RNAcentral lists this ribosomal RNA (1130 nucleotides) under Rhodotorula mucilaginosa. RNAcentral describes it as "eukaryotic LSU rRNA". The stretch from base 532 to 1130 matches the Rfam family "Eukaryotic large subunit ribosomal RNA", at positions 1 to 615 of the family's 3401-position model. The record is from RNAcentral. Lineage: Eukaryota; Fungi; Basidiomycota; Microbotryomycetes; Sporidiobolales; Sporidiobolaceae.
UAGUGAAUAUAGGACGUCCAACUUAACUUGGAGUCCGAACUCUCACUUUCUAACCCUGUGCACUUGUUUGGGAUAGUAACUCUCGCAAGAGAGCGAACUCCUAUUCACUUAUAAACACAAAGUCUAUGAAUGUAUUAAAUUUUAUAACAAAAUAAAACUUUCAACAACGGAUCUCUUGGCUCUCGCAUCGAUGAAGAACGCAGCGAAAUGCGAUAAGUAAUGUGAAUUGCAGAAUUCAGUGAAUCAUCGAAUCUUUGAACGCACCUUGCGCUCCAUGGUAUUCCGUGGAGCAUGCCUGUUUGAGUGUCAUGAAUACUUCAACCCUCCUCUUUCUUAAUGAUUGAAGAGGUGUUUGGUUUCUGAGCGCUGCUGGCCUUUACGGUCUAGCUCGUUCGUAAUGCAUUAGCAUCCGCAAUCGAACUUCGGAUUGACUUGGCGUAAUAGACUAUUCGCUGAGGAAUUCUAGUCUUCGGAUUAGAGCCGGGUUGGGUUAAAGGAAGCUUCUAAUCAGAAUGUCUACAUUUUAAGAUUAGAUCUCAAAUCAGGUAGGACUACCCGCUGAACUUAAGCAUAUCAAUAAGCGGAGGAAAAGAAACUAACAAGGAUUCCCCUAGUAGCGGCGAGCGAAGCGGGAAGAGCUCAAAUUUAUAAUCUGGCACCUUCGGUGUCCGAGUUGUAAUCUCUAGAAAUGUUUUCCGCGUUGGACCGCACACAAGUCUGUUGGAAUACAGCGGCAUAGUGGUGAGACCCCCGUAUAUGGUGCGGACGCCCAGCGCUUUGUGAUACAUUUUCGAAGAGUCGAGUUGUUUGGGAAUGCAGCUCAAAUUGGGUGGUAAAUUCCAUCUAAAGCUAAAUAUUGGCGAGAGACCGAUAGCGAACAAGUACCGUGAGGGAAAGAUGAAAAGCACUUUGGAAAGAGAGUUAACAGUACGUGAAAUUGUUGGAAGGGAAACGCUUGAAGUCAGACUUGCUUGCCGAGCAAUCGGUUUGCAGGCCAGCAUCAGUUUUCCGGGAUGGAUAAUGGUAGAGAGAAGGUAGCAGUUUCGGCUGUGUUAUAGCUCUCUGCUGGAUACAUCUUGGGGGACUGAGGAACGCAGUGUGCCUUUGGCGGGGGUUUCGACCUCUUCACA